This 301-nucleotide ribosomal RNA is filed under the name uncultured bacterium. RNAcentral describes it as "partial 16S ribosomal RNA". It matches the Rfam family "Bacterial small subunit ribosomal RNA", at positions 509 to 807 of the family's 1533-position model. The record is from RNAcentral.
CAGUAGCCACGGGAAUACGAAGGGGGCUAGCGUUGCUCGGAAUUACUGGGCGUAAAGGGAGCGUAGGCGGACAUUUAAGUCAGGGGUGAAAUCCCAGAGCUCAACUCUGGAACUGCCUUUGAUACUGGGUGUCUUGAGUGUGAUAGAGGUAUGUGGAACUCCGAGUGUAGAGGUGAAAUUCGUAGAUAUUCGGAAGAACACCAGUGGCGAAGGCGGCUUACUGGUCCAUUACUGACGCUGAGGUGCGAAAGCGUGGGGAGCAAACAGGAUUAGAUACCCGCGUAGUCCCUGUCUCUUAUAC